UAGGUAGGAAGCGCGAUGAAGUACAGACUGUAUCUGGUCGCUUGGUCUGUAUGGAGCCAGUAGCGAAUCCGCCCUCUUUUCGA
RNAcentral lists this non-coding RNA (83 nucleotides) under Bacillus sp. (in: firmicutes). RNAcentral describes it as "Bacillus sp. c-di-GMP-II sequence". It matches the Rfam family "Cyclic di-GMP-II riboswitch aptamer". The record is from RNAcentral. Lineage: Bacteria; Bacillati; Bacillota; Bacilli; Caryophanales; Bacillaceae.